UACAGAGGUCUCAAGCGUUGUUCGGAUUCAUUGGGCGUAAAGGGUGCGUAGGCGGCGCGGUAAGUCGGGUGUGAAAUCUCGGGGCUUAACUCCGAAACUGCAUUCGAUACUGCCGUGCUUGAGGACUGGAGAGGAGACUGGAAUUUACGGUGUAGCGGUGAAAUGCGUAGAUAUCGUAAGGAAGACCAGUGGCGAAGGCGGGUCACUGGACAGUUCCUGACGCUGAGGCACGAAGGCCAGGGGAGCAAACGGG
RNAcentral lists this ribosomal RNA (253 nucleotides) under uncultured bacterium. RNAcentral's name for it is "partial 16S ribosomal RNA". It matches the Rfam family "Bacterial small subunit ribosomal RNA", at positions 524 to 776 of the family's 1533-position model. The record is from RNAcentral.